RNAcentral lists this ribosomal RNA (445 nucleotides) under uncultured beta proteobacterium. RNAcentral describes it as "bacterial SSU rRNA". It matches the Rfam family "Bacterial small subunit ribosomal RNA", at positions 38 to 483 of the family's 1533-position model. The record is from RNAcentral. Lineage: Bacteria; Pseudomonadati; Pseudomonadota; Betaproteobacteria.
GGCGGCAUGCCUUACACAUGCAAGUCGAACGGUAACAGGUAAAGCUGACGAGUGGCGAACGGGUGAGUAAUGUAUCGGAACGUGCCCAGUCGUGGGGGAUAACUACUCGAAAGAGUGGCUAAUACCGCAUGAGACCUGAGGGUGAAAGCGGGGGACUCGCAAGAGCCUCGCGCGAUUGGAGCGGCCGAUAUCAGAUUAGCUUGUUGGUGGGGUAAAAGCCCACCAAGGCGACGAUCUGUAGCUGGUCUGAGAGGACGACCAGCCACACUGGGACUGAGACACGGCCCAGACUCCUACGGGAGGCAGCAGUGGGGAAUUUUGGACAAUGGACGCAAGUCUGAUCCAGCCAUGCCGCGUGUGGGAAGAAGGCCUUCGGGUUGUAAACCACUUUUGUCAGGGAAGAAACGGCUCUUACUAAUAUUAGGAGCUAAUGACGGCACCUGAA